Molecule: ribosomal RNA, 459 nt
Filed under: uncultured bacterium
Lineage: Bacteria
Description: partial 16S ribosomal RNA
Rfam family: Bacterial small subunit ribosomal RNA
Source: RNAcentral
CCUACGGGAGGCUGCAGUGAGGAAUAUUGGUCAAUGGCCGAGAGGCUGAACCAGCAAAGUCGCGUGAGGGAAGACGGCCCUACGGGUUGUAAACCCCUUUUUUCGGGGAGCAAAACGUACCACGUGUGGUUCAUUGAGCGUACCCGAACAAAAAGCAUCGGCUAACUCCGUUCCAGCAGCCGCGGUAAUACUGCGGAUGCGCGCGUUAUCCGGUUUUAUUGGGGUUAAGGGGUGCGCAGGUGGAGGUGCAAGUCAGCGGUCAAAUUGCGGGGCUCAACCCCGUACUGCCGUUGAAACUGCAUCCCUUGAGUGCGCGAGAAGUAUGCGGAAUGCGUGGUGUAGCGGUGAAAUGCAUAGAUAUCACGCAGAACUCCGAUUGCGAAGGCAGUUCACUGGACUGCAACUGACACUGAGGCUCGAAAGUGUGGGUAUCAAACAGGAUUAGAUACCCGUGUAGUC